AAACUUUCAACAACGGAUCUCUUGGCUCUCGCAUCGAUGAAGAACGCAGAA
Molecule: ribosomal RNA, 51 nt
Filed under: Tuber rapaeodorum
Lineage: Eukaryota; Fungi; Ascomycota; Pezizomycetes; Pezizales; Tuberaceae
Also listed under: 1 other name
Description: partial 5.8S ribosomal RNA
Rfam family: 5.8S ribosomal RNA
About the family: 5.8S ribosomal RNA (5.8S rRNA) is a component of the large subunit of the eukaryotic ribosome. It is transcribed by RNA polymerase I as part of the 45S precursor that also contains 18S and 28S rRNA.
Source: RNAcentral